This 220-nucleotide unclassified non-coding RNA is filed under the name uncultured fungus. RNAcentral's name for it is "sequence contains ITS1, 5.8S rRNA gene". The stretch from base 172 to 220 matches the Rfam family "5.8S ribosomal RNA", at positions 1 to 49 of the family's 154-position model. The record is from RNAcentral. Lineage: Eukaryota; Fungi.
UUUCCGUAGGUGAACCUGCGGAAGGAUCAUUAUUGAGAUCACGGGGGCCGCUCCCUAGGGACGGUCCCCAAAACCAAACCCACUGUGAACCGUUUGAGGGCGCACGUCGUCACACGUCGCCCCAACUUUACAACUGUCGUCAAGCGUCUGAAAGUAAAAACAAAAGAGUACAACUCUCAACGACGGAUCUCUUGGCUCUCGCAUCGAUGAAGAACGCAGC